This 791-nucleotide ribosomal RNA is filed under the name uncultured Bacillota bacterium. Its description in RNAcentral is "bacterial SSU rRNA". It matches the Rfam family "Bacterial small subunit ribosomal RNA", at positions 550 to 1344 of the family's 1533-position model. The record is from RNAcentral. Lineage: Bacteria; Bacillati; Bacillota.
UUUACUGGGUGUAAAGGGUGCGUAGGCGGAUCUGCAAGUCAGAAGUGAAAUCCACGGGCUUAACCUGUGAACUGCUUUUGAAACUGUAGGUCUUGAGUGAAGUAGAGGUAGGCGGAAUUCCCGGUGUAGCGGUGAAAUGCGUAGAGAUCGGGAGGAACACCAGUGGCGAAGGCGGCCUACUGGGCUUUAACUGACGCUGAGGCACGAAAGUGUGGGUAGCAAACAGGAUUAGAUACCCUGGUAGUCCACACUGUAAACGAUGAUUACUAGGUGUGGGGGGUCUAACCCCCUCCGUGCCGGAGUUAACACAAUAAGUAAUCCACCUGGGGAGUACGGCCGCACGGCUGAAACUCAAAGGAAUUGACGGGGGCCCGCACAAGCAGUGGAGUAUGUGGAUUAAUUCGAAGCAACGCGAAGAACCUUACCAGGUCUUGACAUCCAACUAACGAAGUAGAGAUACAUUAGGUGCCCUUCGGGGAAAGUUGAGACAGGUGGUGCAUGGUUGUCGUCAGCUCGUGUCGUGAGAUGUUGGGUUAAGUCCCGCAACGAGCGCAACCCCUACUGUUAGUUGCUACGCAAGAGCACUCUAGCAGGACUGCCGUUGACAAAACGGAGGAAAGUGGGGACGACGUCAAAUCAUCAUGCCCUUUAUGACCUGGGCCUCACACGUACUACAAUGGCCGUUAACAGAGGGAAGCAAUACCGCGAGGUGGAGCAAAACCCUAAAAACGGUCUCAGUUCGGAUUGUAGGCUGCAACUCGCCUACAUGAAGUUGGAAUUGCUAGUAAUCG